CCUACGGGGGGCAGCAGUGAGGAAUUUUGCGCAAUGGCCGCAAGGCUGACGCAGCAACGCCGCGUGGGUGAUGAAGGCCUUCGGGUCGUAAAGCCCUGUCAGGUGGGAAGAAAGGCCUUGAUAAGAAACGGUUGAGGUUUGACGGUACCACCAGAGGAAGCACCGGCUAACUCCGUGCCAGCAGCCGCGGUAAUACGGAGGGUGCAAGCGUUAUUCGGAAUUAGUGGGCGUAAAGGGCGGUCUGGCGGGGAAGCCCUGGGCUUAACCUGGGAAGUGCAUUGGAAACUGCAUUUCUUGAGUACUGGAGAGGAAGGGGGAAUUCCCGGUGUAGAGGUGAAAUUCGUAGAGAUCGGGAGGAAUACCAGUGGCGUAGGCGCCCUUCUGGACGGUAACUGACGCUGAGACGCGAAAGCGUGGGGAGCAAACAGGAUUAGAUACCCCGGUAGUC
This 448-nucleotide ribosomal RNA is filed under the name uncultured bacterium. RNAcentral's name for it is "partial 16S ribosomal RNA". It matches the Rfam family "Bacterial small subunit ribosomal RNA", at positions 338 to 795 of the family's 1533-position model. The record is from RNAcentral.